Molecule: transfer RNA, 77 nt
Filed under: Coprobacillus sp. CAG:235
Lineage: Bacteria; Bacillati; Bacillota; Erysipelotrichia; Erysipelotrichales; Coprobacillaceae
Also listed under: 28 other names
Description: transfer RNA-Arg(CCG)
Rfam family: tRNA
About the family: Transfer RNA (tRNA) molecules are approximately 80 nucleotides in length.
Source: RNAcentral
GGUACUUUAGCUCAGUUGGAUAGAGUAUGUGCCUCCGGAGCACAGGGUCAUGGGUUCGAAUCCCAUAAGUACCGCCA